This 567-nucleotide ribosomal RNA is filed under the name uncultured metazoan. RNAcentral's name for it is "SSU rRNA". It matches the Rfam family "Eukaryotic small subunit ribosomal RNA", at positions 564 to 1133 of the family's 1831-position model. The record is from RNAcentral. Lineage: Eukaryota; Metazoa.
GUGCCAGCCGCCGCGGUAAUUCCAGCUCCAAUAGCGUAUAUUAAAGUUGUUGCAGUUAAAAAGCUCGUAGUUGGAUCUCGGGCACUAGCAUGUGGUACGCUUAACUGCUGUUACUACAUGUCUGGUCCUAAUCAACCGGUUGGCCGUUGAUGCCCUUUAUUGGGUGUUUUCGGUAGCCGGUACGUUUACUUUGAGAAAAUUAGAGUGCUUAAAGCAGGCCUUACGCCUGAAUAAUGUUGCAUGGAAUAAUAGAAUAGGACCUCGGUUCUAUUUUGUUGGUUUUGUAGAGCAUUGAGGUAAUGAUUAAUAGGGACAGACGGGGGCAUUCGUAUUGCGGUGUUAGAGGUGAAAUUCUUGGAUCGCCGCAAGACGAACAACUGCGAAAGCAUUUGCCAAGAAUGUUUUCAUUGAUCAAGAACGAAAGUUGGAGGUUCGAAGACGAUUAGAUACCGUCCUAGUUCCAACCAUAAACGAUGCCAACUAGCGAUUAGCUGAUGUUAAUUUAACGACACAGCUAGCAGCUUCCGGGAAACAAAGUUUUUGGGUUCCGGGGGAAGUAUGGUUGCA